AUGGCCAAGCUCUCCGGCCGGUCCGCGAGCCUCCGUGCGGCGCCGGCCUCCUCCCACGAGCGCAGCAGCUCCGCCUGGAUCUGGGGAGGCGGUCGUGGGUUGUGUGGUGGCCGAUGGGGCGCGGCCACGGGGGGCGCCGCCGGUAUGGAUCAGACGGAGGCCGUGGGUUUCGCCAGAGAUGAGAUGAGGAUGUCUAAGCGACGACGCCGGGGCGAGGAGGGUGAGUCCCGCUGCCAUGACCGCAGCGGCAACAAGCACAAGAGCCUCUAUCUGGUUCUAGACGACUGGCACAGGGGCUUCACCAUCCGCAAGCUUGACGCUGGCAGCCCUGACCUAAGCACCCCUCCUGUCGUCCGGCUAGUGUCACCUGCGCGUAACCUUACCUUUCGAACUCGAAGGCUACUUCGACGCCGAGCUAGAUGCAUGGGUUGGGCUACACCCAGAUGGCUACAUCUGCUCCUGCCAAGUUCCCUCCCUCAGCAGUAG
RNAcentral lists this ribosomal RNA (486 nucleotides) under Triticum aestivum (bread wheat). RNAcentral describes it as "partial small subunit ribosomal RNA". The record is from RNAcentral. Lineage: Eukaryota; Viridiplantae; Streptophyta; Magnoliopsida; Poales; Poaceae.